GGAAAAGAAACCAACAGGGAUUGCCCCAGUAACGGCGAGUGAAGCGCAAAGCUCAAAUUUGAAAUCUGGCCCCAGGCCCGAGUUGUAAUUUGCAGAGGAUGCUUUUGGCGCGGUGCCUUCCGAGUUCCCUGGAACGGGACGCCAUAGAGGGUGAGAGCCCCGUACGGUUGGACACCAAGCCUUUGUAAAGCUCCUUCGACGAGUCGAGUAGUUUGGGAAUGCUGCUCUAAAUGGGAGGUAAAUUUCUUCUAAAGCUAAAUACCGGCCAGAGACCGAUAGCGCACAAGUAGAGUGAUCGAAAGAUGAAAAGCACUUUGAAAAGAGGGUUAAAUAGCACGUGAAAUUGUCAAAGGGGAAGGGUUUAUGACCAGACUUGUGCCUGGCGGAUCAUCCGGUGUUCUCACCGGUGCACUUCGCCUGGUAUAGGCCAGCAUCGGUUUCCGUAGGGGGAUAAAGGCUUUGGGAACGUAGCUCUCUCCGGGGAGUGUUAUAGCCCAUUGUGUAAUACCCUUGUGGGGCGGAGCGCUUCGGCUAGGAUGCUGGCAUAAUGGUUAUUAACCACCC
RNAcentral lists this ribosomal RNA (564 nucleotides) under uncultured fungus. RNAcentral describes it as "eukaryotic LSU rRNA". It matches the Rfam family "Eukaryotic large subunit ribosomal RNA", at positions 55 to 650 of the family's 3401-position model. The record is from RNAcentral. Lineage: Eukaryota; Fungi.